GCUGUAGUCCCAGCCAUUUGGGAGGCUUGUAUGGGAGGAUCUCUUGAGACCAGGAGAUGUGUGUGGGUUGUGUGUGCUAUGGUAAUCAGAUGCCCACACUAAGUUCAGCAUGAAUAUGAUGACUUCCAAAGAGUAAAGGACCACUAGGUUGCCUAAGAAGUGGGGCACUGGUACAGUUUGGAAACCAAGUGGAUCAAAACUCUCAUGCUGAUCACUAGUGGGAUAGUGCCUGUGAAUGGCCACUGCACUCCAGUCUGGGCAACACAGCAAAACCCCAUCUCU
Molecule: unclassified non-coding RNA, 282 nt
Organism: Cercocebus atys (sooty mangabey)
Lineage: Eukaryota; Metazoa; Chordata; Mammalia; Primates; Cercopithecidae
Rfam family: Metazoan signal recognition particle RNA
About the family: The signal recognition particle (SRP) is a universally conserved ribonucleoprotein. It is involved in the co-translational targeting of proteins to membranes. The eukaryotic SRP consists of a 300-nucleotide 7S RNA and six proteins: SRPs 72, 68, 54, 19, 14, and 9.
Source: Ensembl